ACGCUCGACACCUACGGGAGGCAGCAGUAGGGAAUCUUCCACAAUGGACGCAAGUCUGAUGGAGCAACGCCGCGUGAGUGAAGAAGGUUUUCGGAUCGUAAAGCUCUGUUGUUGGUGAAGAAGGAUAGAGGUAGUAACUGGCCUUUAUUUGACGGUAAUCAACCAGAAAGUCACGGCUAACUACGUGCCAGAAGCCGCGGUAAUCUGAGCGGGCUGGCAAGGC
RNAcentral lists this ribosomal RNA (223 nucleotides) under uncultured bacterium. Its description in RNAcentral is "partial 16S ribosomal RNA". It matches the Rfam family "Bacterial small subunit ribosomal RNA", at positions 328 to 539 of the family's 1533-position model. The record is from RNAcentral.